RNAcentral lists this ribosomal RNA (490 nucleotides) under uncultured bacterium. RNAcentral's name for it is "partial 16S ribosomal RNA". It matches the Rfam family "Bacterial small subunit ribosomal RNA", at positions 30 to 507 of the family's 1533-position model. The record is from RNAcentral.
AUUGAACGCUGGCGGCAGGCCUAACACAUGCAAGUCGAACGGUAACAGGAAGCAGCUUGCUGCUUCGCUGACGAGUGGCGGACGGGUGAGUAAUGUCUGGGAAGCUGCCUGAUGGAGGGGGAUAACUACUGGAAACGGUAGCUAAUACCGCAUAAUGUCGCAAGACCAAAGAGGGGGACCUUCGGGCCUCUUGCCAUCGGAUGUGCCCAGAUGGGAUUAGCUUGUUGGUGGGGUAACGGCUCACCAAGGCGACGAUCCCUAGCUGGUCUGAGAGGAUGACCAGCCACACGGGAACUGAGACACGGUCCAGACUCCUACGGGAGGCAGCAGUGGGGAAUAUUGCACAAUGGGCGCAAGCCUGAUGCAGCCAUGCCGCGUGUAUGAAGAAGGCCUUCGGGUUGUAAAGUACCUUCAGCGGGGAGGAAGGGAGUAAAGUUAAUACCUUUGCUCAUUGACGUUACCCGCAGAAGAAGCACCGGCUAACUCCGUG